Transfer RNA from Bathycoccus prasinos, 73 nucleotides. It matches the Rfam family "tRNA". From Rfam's summary of the family: Transfer RNA (tRNA) molecules are approximately 80 nucleotides in length. Their secondary structure includes four short double-helical elements and three loops (D, anti-codon, and T loops). The record is from Rfam. NCBI's taxonomy places the organism in Eukaryota, Viridiplantae, Chlorophyta, Mamiellophyceae, Mamiellales, Bathycoccaceae.
AGGAGAAUAGUUCCAACGGUAGAACAGUGGUCUCCAAAACCAAAGGUUAAGGGUUCAAAUCCCUUUUCUCCUG